AACUCAACACUAUCUUGCCUAUAAAAGACACUGUAGAGUGCCUUGAGAACACAUUUGUUUCUUUUAACUUCUAGGACAAGAUAACUGUCUCCAAAGCAAUCACCAUCCAAAAACAUUAUGCCAAUAAGAAUAAGUGCCUUCCAGCAGUGGUACAGGCAUUUUGGUGAUACCUUCUGCUGCAAAGCAACUUUGCCAAAAUCUAUACAAAAUACACAAAAUCAUAGAGGGAGUAAUCAAGUCAGGUCAGGUUUGGGUUCAGAAUGUUUCAGGUACUGCAUUUUCCCAUAUGGAUUUGAGUUGAAACUUGCUUGUAGGGGUGUGUACUAUUCAGUUAUAACCAAAAACAAAACCGAACCAGCCAAUUCAGUUAUUUGAUAAAGGAUAAUUUGAUUAUGGGUUCAGUUCAGUUAAUAAAUCUUGAAAUCUUUUGUUAUUGGUCCGGUUACCUUUGGAAUUGUAACCAAAAUAACCGAAUUUUUGAAUAAUAAUAAUAAUAAGAGAAGAAAAUUAAUUAGUGGGAGUUUUUAUAA
This 530-nucleotide unclassified non-coding RNA is filed under the name Hevea brasiliensis (rubber tree). The record is from RNAcentral. Lineage: Eukaryota; Viridiplantae; Streptophyta; Magnoliopsida; Malpighiales; Euphorbiaceae.